Molecule: non-coding RNA, 31 nt
Filed under: Rattus norvegicus (Norway rat)
Lineage: Eukaryota; Metazoa; Chordata; Mammalia; Rodentia; Muridae
Source: RNAcentral
UGCAACUAGGUUUGUGGGUCUUCUGAACGAU